Non-coding RNA from Aspergillus tubingensis, 73 nucleotides. NCBI's taxonomy places the organism in Eukaryota, Fungi, Ascomycota, Eurotiomycetes, Eurotiales, Aspergillaceae. The record is from the annotation of a RefSeq genome assembly.
GACCAAUUGGCCUAGUGGUUAUGGCGUCUGUCUUACACACAGAAGGUCGCAGGUUCGAUCCCUGCAUUGGUCA